GCCGUUACGAUGUCGAUUUGGAGGUUGUGCCCUUGAGGCGUGGCUUCCGAAGCUAACGCGUUAAAUCGACCGCCUGGGGAGUACGGCCGCAAGGUUAAAACUCAAAUGAAUUGACGGGGGCCCGCACAAGCGGUGGAGCAUGUGGUUUAAUUCGAUGCAACGCGAAGAACCUUACCUACUCUUGACAUCCAGCGAAUCCUGUAGAGAUACGGGAGUGCCUUCGGGAACGCUGAGACAGGUGCUGCAUGGCUGUCGUCAGCUCGUGUUGUGAAAUGUUGGGUUAAGUCCCGCAACGAGCGCAACCCUUAUCCUUUGUUGCCAGCGGUUCGGCCGGGAACUCAAAGGAGACUGCCAGUGAUAAACUGGAGGAAGGUGGGGAUGACGUCAAGUCAUCAUGGCCCUUACGAGUAGGGCUACACACGUGCUACAAUGGCGUAUACAAAGAGAAGCGAACUCGCGAGAGCAAGCGGACCUCAUAAAGUACGUCGUAGUCCGGAUUGGAGUCUGCAACUCGACUCCAUGAAGUCGGAAUCGCUAGUAAUCGUGGAUCAGAAUGCCACGGUGAAUACGUUCCCGGGCCUUGUACACACCGCCCGUCACACCAUGGGAGUGGGUUGCAAAAGAAGUAGGUAGCUUAACC
RNAcentral lists this ribosomal RNA (640 nucleotides) under Edwardsiella tarda. RNAcentral describes it as "bacterial SSU rRNA". It matches the Rfam family "Bacterial small subunit ribosomal RNA", at positions 799 to 1440 of the family's 1533-position model. The record is from RNAcentral. Lineage: Bacteria; Pseudomonadati; Pseudomonadota; Gammaproteobacteria; Enterobacterales; Hafniaceae.